RNAcentral lists this ribosomal RNA (906 nucleotides) under uncultured archaeon. RNAcentral's name for it is "bacterial SSU rRNA". It matches the Rfam family "Archaeal small subunit ribosomal RNA", at positions 21 to 903 of the family's 1478-position model. The record is from RNAcentral.
CCCCACUGCUAUCGGGAUGGGACUAAGACAUGCUAGUCGAGCGUCUCCAAGCUAUGGAAGAGACGCGGCACACAGCUCAGUAACACGUGGCUAACCUGCCCUUGGGACAAGGACAACUCCGGGAAACUGGGGCUAAUCCCUGAUAAGUGAGAACUCCUGGAAUGGAUUCUCGCUCAAAGGACGUUUAGACCAUGCUUCUAGGCGUCGCCCAAGGAGGGGGCCGCGACCGAUCAGGUUGUUGGUGAGGUAACGGCUCACCAAGCCUUUAACCGGUACGGGCCGUGAGAGCGGAAGCCCGGAGAUGGGCACUGAGACAAGGGCCCAGGCCCUACGGGGCGCAGCAGUCGCGAAAACUCCGCAAUACACGAAAGUGUGACGGGGCUAUCCCGAGUGCCAUCCGCUGAGGAUGGCUUUUCCCCAGUGUAUAAAGCUGGGGGAAUAAGGAGAGGGCAAGCCUGGUGUCAGCCGCCGCGGUAAUACCAGCUCUCCGAGUGGUGGGGAUGCUUAUUGGGCCUAAAGCAUUCGUAGCCUGCUUGGCAAGUCCUCCGUUAAAUCCAACGAUUCAAUCGUUGGGCUGCGGGGGAUACUGUCCGGCUAGGGGGCGGGAGAGGCCGACGGUAUCCUCGGGGUAGGGGUGAAAUCCUAUAAUCCCGGGAGGACCACCAGUGGCGAAGGCUGUCGGCUAGAACGCGCUCGACGGUGAGGGAUGAAAGCUGGGGGAGCGAACCGGAUUAGAUACCCGGGUAGUCCCAGCUGUAAACGAUGCAGGCUAGGUGUUGGCGCGGCUACGUGCCGCUCCAGUGCCGCAGGGAAGCCGUUAAGCCUGCCGCCUGGGAAGUACGGCCGCAAGGCUGAAACUUAAAGGAAUUGGCGGGGGAGCACCACAAGGUGUGAAGCUUGCGGUUU